RNAcentral lists this ribosomal RNA (431 nucleotides) under uncultured bacterium. RNAcentral's name for it is "bacterial SSU rRNA". It matches the Rfam family "Bacterial small subunit ribosomal RNA", at positions 29 to 507 of the family's 1533-position model. The record is from RNAcentral.
AACGAACGCUGGCGGCAGGCUUAACACAUGCAAGUCGAACGCCCCGCAAGGGGAGUGGCAGACGAGUGAGUAACGCGUGGGAAUCUACCCAGUUCUACGGAACAACUGAGGGAAACUUCAGCUAAUACCGUAUACGCCCUACGGGGGAAAGAUUUAUCGGAAUUGGAUGAGCCCGCGUUGGAUUAGCUAGUUGGUGAGGUAACGGCUCACCAAGGCGACGAUCCAUAGCUGGUCUGAGAGGAUGAUCAGCCACACUGGGACUGAGACACGGCCCAGACUCCUACGGGAGGCAGCAGUGGGGAAUAUUGGACAAUGGGCGCAAGCCUGAUCCAGCCAUGCCGCGUGAGUGAUGAAGGCCUUAGGGUUGUAAAGCUCUUUCAGUGGGGACGAUAAUGACGGUACCCACAGAAGAAGCCCCGGCUAACUUCGUG